GACGAACGCUGGCGGCGUGCUUAACACAUGCAAGUCGAACGGAAAGGCCAUGAUUUUGUGGGGUGCACGAGUGGCGAACGGGUGAGUAACACGUGAGUAAAAUGCCCUUGAAUUUGGGAUAACUUCAGGAAAAUGGGGCUAAUACCGGAUAGGAGCUCCUGCUGCAUGGUGGGGGUUGGAAAGUUUCGGCGGUUGGGGAUGGACUCGCGGCUUAUCAGCUUGUUGGUGGGGUAGUGGCUUACCAAGGCUUUGACGGGUAGCCGGCGUGAGAGGGUGACCAGGCACAAUGGGACUGAGAUACGGCCCAGACUCCUACGGGAGGCAGCAGUCGGGAAUAUUGCACAAUGGGCGGAAGCCAGAUGCAGCAACGCCGCGUGCGGGAUGACGUCCUUCGGGUUGUAAACCGCUUUCGCCUGUGACGAAGCGUGAGUGACGGUAAUGGGUAAAGAAGCACCGGCUAACUACGUG
This 468-nucleotide ribosomal RNA is filed under the name uncultured bacterium. Its description in RNAcentral is "partial 16S ribosomal RNA". It matches the Rfam family "Bacterial small subunit ribosomal RNA", at positions 28 to 507 of the family's 1533-position model. The record is from RNAcentral.